This is a long non-coding RNA of Gambusia affinis (western mosquitofish), 1347 nucleotides long. RefSeq lists it as uncharacterized. NCBI's taxonomy places the organism in Eukaryota, Metazoa, Chordata, Actinopteri, Cyprinodontiformes, Poeciliidae. The transcript has 2 exons. The record is from RefSeq and is a predicted model, not a curated record.
GUUGGAUUCAGGUUGUUGGACCAGGGAGACGUCUAGGGAGACACUGGCCCUCGAGGACCAGGAGUGCCCACCCCUGGUCUAAGUGGUAUUUAUCAACUGGGGUGUCCUUAUUUUACAAGAACUGCCUUAAUAACUUCUGAUUAAAUGGACGAUUGCCGCUUUUGGUGUUGUGAAGCUUUUCCAACCUUUUCAUCAAGCUUCCUGACCUCAGGAGACCCUCCAUGCUACUGUAAGUUAUCCGCACACCAGGAGCACAGAUGGAUCAGCAAGGAAUGCCGGAGUCCUAUUGGUUCGGAGCGGCGUUAUAAAUACGCUUGUAAUGAGAAAUACUGGGAAAAACACCAGCUCCCACAGCCGCACAGACAUAUGCUGCGAAUAUUCCUGUAAAUGUUCUGAUCACUGACAUCUGCCUCUUUGGGGAGAAAAAAAAAAAGAGAAAAAAAAAGUCUGCUGUCGUCUGAAGUGGAAGACAUUUUAACCAGAUUUUCUGGGUAGAAGCUAUGUUUCUUAGAAAUGCAGUUUCAGAAAUGAGACUGAAUCCAGCUGAUAUUAAGGCUGACUUUUAGUCCACGAGUUCUCCAACCAAGAUUUAAAAAGAGGAACGGGUCGAGGGCUCUGGAUAGCAGUAUCUUUCACUACAACGUAACGUUAGCUUGGCUGGUCAUGGGUUUAGCACUAAAAAUGAAAUUAGCAGCGCUAACAAGAUUAGAGGUGCUAAUUACAGACCUGUGCUGAUUGAUACAGAAAAAGACUUUUUCAUUUAACCCACAUUUGUACAGAUAUUGCUUGAACAUAUUAAUUUCCCCUUCAGUGUUUUCCCAUUUUGUUAUGUAAUGUGACAAGUAUUAUGAAUUUUAUACUAAAUGCUAACAAACUUUAAGAAAGUGACUGAAUGGCUCACAUAUCAUCAUCUUCCUAAAAUAAAAGGUCUAAGUAAUUUUUUGCAAAAAGUGAUUUUUUUUUUAUCUAAACUAUCUUUUGCCCAAAAAAAAAAAAAAUUAAAAAGGUGAUCUAUUCUUUAAUCACUUUUGGCAAAAAAGACUAAGGGUGUUAUUUUAGGAAGGUCACAAUAUAUUAUCGUUUAUCUUAACUUCUGGGACAAUUUAUCCUCCAGCAACAUUUCUUAUCAUGAGAGCCCAAUGUAUUAAACAUACUGUUCAUUAGGCCCACAUUUCUGUUUUAAAAAGUAGUUUGUUUAGUAGCCUGGUGUAAUAUUCUAAUUUUAAAUGUUUUCAUUACUUGUAAGAGGAAAAUCAUUCCAUAUAACAGAAAUGCUUUCAAACAUCCAUCUGUGUGUCGUUAUCUAUACAAUGAGCUUUCACUUACUGAUAAAGUUACUCAAAUGAA